Molecule: long non-coding RNA, 1570 nt
Filed under: Cyanistes caeruleus (blue tit)
Lineage: Eukaryota; Metazoa; Chordata; Aves; Passeriformes; Paridae
Description: lncRNA (ENSCCEG00000019339.1)
Source: RNAcentral
GUGGAAUGCUCUUUUGCUGCUUCCUGCUGCCCACACUAUUGUCUGCUCAGAGUUCUGGCACGUAUCGUCUCAGCUUUCCAUUCCUGACAUCACCUGAUUGCACGAUUCAUUCAAGUGGGUCAAGCUUUGUAACUCUAAAAUAUGUAGCAGCAAUCAAAAGAAACUGAACUCCAACCUACACAGCAAGUUUCUGCUUGGUAGCCCCAUACAGCUGGCUCUGUUCAGGGCAGGUCAGCAUUACAACAGUACAGACAGCCAGAAUUGCUGUCAUGCAAGCAAGGAUGUGGCCCCUUAAUUUUUUAUCCUGAUGUUUGGGCUUUUCUUAGCCCCUCCACCUCCCUGAACCUUGCAGCAUUAUUGUUUCCUGAAGGAGUUAUUUCUAUCAAGUACUGGCAGUCCUGACAUUGAUAGGCAGUGAACCAAUACUUUUAUAGAAUUGUGAAGCCAAACUAGUUUUGCAGAUCGACUGUGCAGUUGCAUACGAUUUUCCAUUCUGGAUAUAAUAACUGCAACUUGAAAUACUCCCCCACAAGGAUUGAUUGUGUGCUUUAGGAAAUUCACAGUAAAGAAUUUAAUUAAGAAAGAAGAAAUUGCAUCACUUCAUUUAAAAAAGGAGAAAUUCACCCGAGAUAUUUUGUUCAUUUUCAGGCUAUAAUAGCAAUAACCAUCUUUAGCUGAGGACAUUUCCUGGGGCUUAAUGGCCCAUGGCUGUGCUUCUUCAGGUGAUCAUCAUCAUCUCCCAACAGUCAUUAAUCCCCUACAAAUGCCCUGCACCUCAGUCAUUAAAUGUGCUGCUUCUGAAAAUGAAAUAGUUCUAUAUUUAAUGCAUCUUCCAGGAAUAGGAGUGAUCUUUCUGAGGUCUUGUUUUCCCUCUGUGCUGCAUUCUGGGGAAUCCAAAUUAUGAAGAGGAUUACUUCAUUCAAAGAUAAACACCACUGAAGACCAGAUCUAACAUCACCUUAAAUAUGGAAACAGCACUUUAGAAUAACCUUCUAAAUUCCUUGGAAUUAAUCAACCACGAAUCACGCUGAAUUGCAAUCAGUUCACUUAUUAAAUGAGAGAUCUGUGAUUUUUGUAUGAAGGUUUGAAAGAUUCCUAAAGGGGUAUAUGCAUUUUUAUUUGAUUUUUUAAUGAAAUAUUUCAUUUCUUCCCAAUUUAAAUCAAAUAUCUAUUCACAGCAUAGAUUUUUGCAUUCAUAGGAUUGCAAAUUCUUAAAAACCAUGUAAAACUAAUUUAAUUUUGCAGUGAUUUUGUUAUUAAUAAUAUGUGAAAAGUAUUUUUCACAAGAGGAAUAAUUAAAAUCAUAUCUGAUGUAACCUGGUAUAAAGUGAUUGACUGUCUUCUUAUUGAAGCUAAACAUAAACAUAUGUGAGUGACAUUUUUUCUGUAAUGAUUGAAUUACACCAGAAUCUCCAUGUCAUGGCCAAUUCAGUGUUCAUAACAUGCAGCUACAUGAGGAUGAGUAGUUGAUGCAAGAAAAUGAUUAAAAACAGCAUGAUAAAAUAACUCGACCUACUAUGAGUUGAAACAUCUUCAAUAAAAUUGGCUGAUAUAUGUGCUGAAUAAUUCA